GUUCACUGUUGCACUGUUUCAGUGUAUUAAAGAAGCAAACACAGUGGAGGGCCAGCCAGCAUAGCUAUCUAUGGUAGCUCCAGAACAAAAAGCCCAGAAGAAAUCAGAGCCUCUUUGUGAACAGCUUCCGUCUCCAGUAUAUUGAGGGAAAGUGACUGACAUGCAGUGGACAUCCCACCUGGUCUUACCUGAGCCGUUUUUCAGAUAUCCAUUUGCAUCUACUGUUGUGUACAUGAUAUAAGGUCCAGGCUGAUUCACUCCAAAGGGCUGCAGGAAGAAAGGAAAUAGUUGGCCUUGAGAAAGUUGCCUUCAGUGAAUGUUUAUCAAGUAUACACAGUUGUUCAAAAGUGUGGGCCAGAAAGAUUGUAAGAGUCAGUGGGAAUGGAAGACACUAAGGAAACGAGGCCUUCUAAACACAUCAGGACUGACACACAUCUGAACACAGGGACUGUGGCAGCAUGCAGAGAUCUAAGGACUGUAGGACCCUAUGGUAUGAACCUCCUUGCCCUUCAAAACAGAGCACCUGGAAUCUAAGAAAAUGAAUCUAUAAAAAAGCCAUGGGAUGAGUUCUCCGAUCACACAAGAAACUAUAAGCUGACCCCCUCGACUCCUCCUGGGAGAGACUUUACCAGAUUAAGUACUGUCAGUCACAAGUAAUUGUGAGAAGACAUUUUGCAAGUGUCUGUCAUGCAGUUUACCCCCUACCUUCCAGAUGUAUUCUUCAAUAUAGCCAGAGCAUCUGGGUAGCCGUCCAUGUUGUAGUCUCCAAUGUGAAGUGUGAGUGGGAUUGGUAUUGUGGUUGGUUGUUCUUCAUGCACAAAUGGCACAAAGCCCCAGAGUGUACCCUUAUUGCUAAAAUCCUGAAGCACAGGAACCCACUAAGGAUAGAGAAAAAAAAAAGAGUAUUCAUAAUCACUUUAGGGAAAUAGUCACCAUUUGCAAAAGGAACGAUCCAUCCAAAGUGCUGAAGACAGUCAUCAUUUUAUUUCAUUUUCACAGAAUGGUAGGCAUGAUCAUUUACUCUGAUGUACGUGUGAGACCCUGGGAGGACUGGUCUUCCAUAGGCUUUGUCCUGAGCAUCUUUGCUUGAACAGCACACAGAGCCACAGGGCCCUCACACAUACAUGCAACCGUAGGAAUGAACAAGCUCUGUCCUCACCUGACAGGCAUCACACAGACAAGGGGAAUCUACUAUGACACCAAAACAGAUGGAAGCAAAAGUUUUAGUAAAUCUUCAUGGUCUAUAAUGAUUACAACGAAGAGAAUAGAAAAGAUUAGCUUGACUGUAAAGUGAGCUUCUCCCCUUCUCUUCUGAUUGCACAGGUCUCCUCACGCUUUGAUAAAUUAAUAUAAAACUAGAAUCUGAAGAGUAGAGAUCAUAGCAUUAACAUUACAGCUGUGUCACACUUCCUUAAGAAUCAUUACGUUAGCAUUGAUCCUGGACAUGGCUUAAGUGGAAGCAGGUAUACUUCAAUUGGCAAGUAGCCAAACAUGCCCACACAUGCAUUAUUUCUCCUCACAAGCAAAUGGUUAACCUUGAUUGCUGCAAACUAAAGUAUAUU
Non-coding RNA from Mus caroli (Ryukyu mouse), 1562 nucleotides. The record is from RefSeq and is a predicted model, not a curated record. NCBI's taxonomy places the organism in Eukaryota, Metazoa, Chordata, Mammalia, Rodentia, Muridae.